CAUCAGCGCGUUAAUGAGACGUAGAAAAUUGAUUAUCGGUUGUCAGGCGGAUCGUCAAGCUGAGGUUUGAACUCGAUCCGGAGACACCCGAGCAAUAUUUUCUGCAGUUUUGCAUAUCGAACAUCUUCCAUAUAGGUUAUAACGGGUUUGAUUGUAAUUACUAUUAUUGUUAUUACACGAUCCAGGAUAAUUCUGGGGAUUGGAGUAGAGAAUUGAAUUUAAUAAAAAAAAAAAAAACUUCUGAGUGAUUCCUCACGGUACUUAAAUCUGUUGAUGUAAGAAAUCACAAUCAUCGCAGCUAAAUGAUUGUACAAACAUUAUUCAACGAAUGAGGAAUACCAAUAAUUUAUUCAAUCAAUUUGAAUAGAACAAUACGUUACAUGCAUCUUAUGUUAACGUAAGCAGGAAAUUUAUUUUGCACUAUUCAAUAAAUAUAAAUACCUAAUACAUCUUCGUGUGCAUACAGUGUAAACAAGUAUGUGAAGAAUAGUUUUCAGAUGUUUUGUUCUACAGGGUCAUUUAUCACAGUUUCACUAGUGUAAUAAAAGUGCAAAAAAAUUCUAAACCUUGUAUUAAUAUUCUCCGCACUAUUGUAGAGGUAUACCUGAAUUAUUUAAGAAGUUCUGUCCACACUGUGCACGAAUAUUAAAAUGAGACAGUUGAAUUUUCAGGCAUGGACUCUUAUAAAAGACGCAACGAAUAUUGCGUUCUGAAUUGAGAAUAAUUAGUUAAAAAUAAGAAACUUAAACAAAGAGCUGUUGAAACUACUGAGAAUAUAUGUAGGAAUUUGCAUAAGAAAUUUGAAUCUCUUCGUCAGCAUCGUUUAUGAUUAAUUAACACAAACACAAGCAAAUGCGCAAGUGUGCUGGUUUCGCAGGGCGAAGUGUGGCUGGUGGAGAAGGCCGACUGCUCCUGGGACCGGUCGCCUGUUUCCCGCAGCGUCGGAGCUAAUGAAGUAUUCUUAAAUACUGGCCAUCACUACAACUGACAACAAACAACUGACGCAACCGAUCUUACUUGAAGCCCACAUAAGCGGUUGUCUCGAUCAAGGGUCACAGAUGGGUCAACAUCAGCCUCUGCCAUGAAACCAGCAUCCCAUAGUUGCUGCUUUACUUUGAAAGCAUAAUCAUCAAAUUGACUACUGACCGAAAUCACCAUUACCUGACGAGGUGAGAGCCAAAACGGCCAUUUACCAGCGUAGGAUUCAGUCAGGAUGGCUAUCAUCCGUUCAACAGAGCCUAAUAUUGCUCUGUGGAUAAUAACUGGCCUGGUUUUUUCCCCUGUUUCGCUGUAAUGUAAAAAGAUUGUGUAGUAAUUAAAUAGCAAUAGCUAAAGACUGAAAGAACCAAAA
RNAcentral lists this long non-coding RNA (1351 nucleotides) under Neodiprion lecontei (redheaded pine sawfly). RNAcentral's name for it is "uncharacterized LOC124293335". The record is from RNAcentral. Lineage: Eukaryota; Metazoa; Arthropoda; Insecta; Hymenoptera; Diprionidae.